RNAcentral lists this ribosomal RNA (253 nucleotides) under uncultured bacterium. RNAcentral describes it as "partial 16S ribosomal RNA". It matches the Rfam family "Bacterial small subunit ribosomal RNA", at positions 524 to 776 of the family's 1533-position model. The record is from RNAcentral.
UACGGAGGGAGCUAGCGUUGUUCGGAAUUACUGGGCGUAAAGCGCACGUAGGCGGCUUUGCAAGUUAGAGGUGAAAGCCCGGGGCUCAACUCCGGAAUUGCCUUUAAAACUGCAUCGCUAGAGUUGUGGAGAGGUAAGUGGAAUUCCGAGUGUAGAGGUGAAAUUCGUAGAUAUUCGGAAGAACACCAGUGGCGAAGGCGACUCGCUGGACAGGUAUUGACGCUGAGGUGCGAAAGCGUGGGGAGCAAACAGG